AGUUAAUGUAUAACUUAUACAAUUGAUUUGGUCUGAGACACGCAGAUGCCAGACCAGAUAUAACCCCACCAUGUCCCUGCUGUAAAAGUAGUUCACUAAGAAAUCCCAAGUGGUAUAACAUGGGAACAUGCUGGAUAUUGUCAUCAAUAUUGGAGAUAAAGCUGACUAAUGAGCAUGUGGGUAUAAUCUCAGCACAGAAUCAUCAUUCUAAAGCCCACCAGAUGGUAUUCUACAGAACCAACAAGAACUGUCUGAUAACCCCAGAUGUUGCCUGUGCUUUCCCAGUCACUCAACAAAGAAGGCAUGUGACAACUACACACAUUUCUGGAAUGACAUCAGGAAAAAACAUGUCACCGUGGCUCUUGUUGACUAGCAGGCUAAAUUUUGGGGGAGGGUGGUUCACCAAUUUCAAACCCCUAAUUCUUCCCUAGGUAUUUUUCCAGCUUUGUUUACUCUAAAAUAAAUCUAAAGAAAAGGGGGCUUAUGAAUACUUCCUUUCUUUAUGUGUUUGCAAAAAGAAUGUAGAGAAUAUUAUUAAAGAAUGAUAAAAUGUUAUAAACUUGUUUCUUUUACAGUCUCUCCCAACAAAGAGGUUAGGCAAUGAUGGGAUAUCCAUUGAAAACAAAUGACUUACCCUGACAGACUGCUUUUUGGUGAGGUUACUGGCUAUGGACAAAGGAGUUGCUUUGCUUUUAGCUUUUCUCCUAUUGUCUUCUCAGCCAUGACCAUAGAGCAAGAGGUGAAGGAAGGUAUUGUGGCAUUUUUCUUGAGGCCCAGUCAUGGCAUGCUAAGACUAGCUCUUGGCAAGAAGACACCAGCAGGGCCCAUGCCAUAGGCCUUUGCUGUGUCCGCAAAGUUCAUAUUUCAUGAAUUUUCAUUUUAUAUAGUAGACAACAAACAAUCUUACUUCUUAGGAAUAAGUCCUGGACUAGAAUCUGCCCUAAGGUCAACAAAGUUUGUUCAAAAUGUACCUACCCAUAACGAAGUAAAAUCUCAGGUUCCCGUAACCAGUAGUGUCCAUGUAUGGAGUGCAUAAUUUCCUCUCUCCGUCUUUGAGGAAGACCAUUGAUAAACCUGAUUCUAUUGUUCCGCACUCUGUACCGAUAACAGCUCCCAAGAUGUCCCACCUUAAAAAAAAAAAGUCAUUGAGAGCAAAUCUUUACAAAGUAAAAAAUUCUGUUUUUAACUAAGAACAUUUAUUUAGCAAUGAAUGAUUCUGAAAUAAAGGUGUGGUACUGCAGACUUUAGGCAAUGAAUAUACUUGGAACACAUCCCAUUCACAGUUAUGGUUCUUCUCUAGAGAGACAAUUUUUAUUAGUACUAUGCUAGUUUGUCUACCACAUGGCCAGAGCGUGCUCCCAAGUAGGACAGUGUUUACUUUCAAAGUACUUGCAGUUCAGUUCAGGAAUCAAAUAUGAACUAAGGAAACAGUGAACCAUUGAAUAUCAUAAUAUAAACCCUUGCAUGGUAUUUUGCAUAUUAAAAAUUAUUCUAGAAUGAAAAGCUGUAAUAGCUGCCAAAAGUCCAGCAAGUUUUCAAAAAGGAGACAGGAUUUAAAAUGGGUCUGGUCCAAUAGGUCUUUGGAUAUGUA
Molecule: long non-coding RNA, 1591 nt
Organism: Marmota monax (woodchuck)
Lineage: Eukaryota; Metazoa; Chordata; Mammalia; Rodentia; Sciuridae
Exons: 3
Source: RefSeq, a predicted model, not a curated record